RNAcentral lists this ribosomal RNA (232 nucleotides) under uncultured bacterium. RNAcentral's name for it is "partial 16S ribosomal RNA". It matches the Rfam family "Bacterial small subunit ribosomal RNA", at positions 118 to 347 of the family's 1533-position model. The record is from RNAcentral.
UGAGCAAUCUGCCCUUCUCAUCGGAAUAAGCGUUGGAAACGACGUCUAAUGCCGAAUACGACCUCCUUUCGCAUGAUCGGAGGUGGAAAGCUCCGGCGGAGAAGGAUGAGCUCGCGGCCUAUCAGCUAGUUGGUGUGGGUAAUGGCCCACCAAGGCGACGACGGGUAGCCGGCCUGUGAGGGUGACCGGCCACACUGGGACUGAGACACGGCCCAGACUCCUACGGGAGCAG